Anoplopoma fimbria (sablefish) is the source of this 552-nucleotide long non-coding RNA. RefSeq lists it as uncharacterized. NCBI's taxonomy places the organism in Eukaryota, Metazoa, Chordata, Actinopteri, Perciformes, Anoplopomatidae. The transcript has 4 exons. The record is from RefSeq and is a predicted model, not a curated record.
UCUCCACGGAGAGGCGCUGUGGCUCCACACCAAAGCUGCCUCCCUGCUGCCGGGACGUCGACCACAAACCCCGGGGUUACCUGGACGUCCACCUGCUCCCCCCACUCAGAUACUAAUUGCGUGGGGAGGUAAACAUUGCAGUCAAGUGGAGAGGACGGCGAGUCAAGCGUGAAUAUCAAUCUCCCCCACAUCAGUGUCAUCAGAUGACUUUGACUGAGUCCCGCAAUAACAUCCAGGUGGAGGCCUCUGCAAGUACGGAAGCCUGCAGAGCUCACCAGUUAUGAGCUCUCCAGGCUCUACCUGCCUCGCUCCUGCUGCUGCCACACUACCCUUCAGCAAACUGAUGAACUGCGGCAACCUCAGAUUAACCUCCAACCCCAUCUUUCUUCUACUGCAAUCCCAGACCAUCACAGGAGCGGAGAUCUUUUUUAGGUCAUAAAAUUGAAAUAUAUUCUCCAUAUUCGGAGUAACUUUUUGUUAUUUUUUUAAAAUCUACUUUCUGCCAAGAAGACUGGAAAGACUGGAGUUACAGGGUGAGAUGUUGUUAUAAAA